CAGAGAAAUUUUCAAGAAGACUUACACUCUUGGUAAUGUCAAGGACAUUACAGAGGCGUGUACAUCUGCACUGUCGUGCAAAGCAGAAAUGACCAGAAUUCUGAAGUUCUGCUCAGAUUUUAAUAAAUACAUUGACACUAAUGUGAACUGCAUUGUUGAAAACAUGUAUACAUUCCAAAUUCUAUUCAAGUCCAUUCAAUCAGAUGUUUGUGAUGUCAGUGCCACUGCUGUCACCACACAGGAAAUGGAAGUACAGCAGGUAUGUUUGUUCAUUUGUUCAUGUCUGUUAAUUUAAGGAAGGUCACUACACAUAAUAUUCUGUUUAGUGAGCCUGUGUGCCUUUUAUGUGUAGUAUUAUUAUCCCAGUGCUUAGAUUAAGUGGUAAUCUCUCUACAGCAGUAUACUGGUUAAAAUAAAAUACUGUAUAUAUGGACUGUUCCUUCAGAUUUCAACAGCAGCCAGUGAUCUUGAUCCUGAGAGUGUGAAGACUCACCUCCAACAAAAAGAUCCCAGGAUUUUUGCAUUCUACGAGGAGAAUGGGACCCUUAAAAAUGGAGAAGGGUACUGGGAACAACUGCCGUCAGUUUCCUUGUUGAAAAAAUGGGAUUUUAUCCAGUAAGUGCGGACAAAAAACUCCUCACCAGAACCAUUGUGACACUUUACCCAUCACUUAACAACAAGAUGGAGGACGAAAAUGAAGGAUAUGAUGAAGCCUGGUCCUGAGAACCUUUCUUCGAUCAAGAUGGGUAUGGACAACCUACUUCCACCGAAGAUGCUCACACAUUAUCAGCCCCCUACUGUGUCAGGAAGAUCUAAGCGAUGGACAAAAUGCAGCAUCAAAUCAGCGCUGUCCUACAUGUUGGACAUUACACAACCAGGAACAAGCUUCCAUGAUCUCCUACAAACCACUGACCCUGCUCCAGGGAUGCAACCUCGUCUGGUGAGCAUUGGACAUCCCAGCACAACAUCACCACAAUAUGUCAUCGUGGCUGCCAAUGACUACGUAGUCAUUCCACUCCAGGAAGAGGGCCUCACCUGCAGUAUGGACAAACUCUUCAAGUUGUAUUGGGUUUGUAACCUUGCCUGUUUGGUAAAGUAUAAGUUGUUGAUUGAAAAAAUGGCAGCCUGUGGACAUGAUUUAAACAUUUUGAGUAUGAUAAGUAUGGCCAGUUGUGUGUGUAUAUUUGGUUAUUGCUACAGACCUGGUUGUGUGGUUUCCUUAAAAUGUGAUUUGGACAACGAACAUAUCUUUGGAGAGACAGUGUAUAUUGUUCCCUUUUUUGACCGUGAUGAGGUGUUCAUUUUGUUGAGAGUUCUCACUGUUAAGUAUUUUGAUGACCACCUUCCCACUUAUGUGAUUAAAAAGACAAAUUAAUUUCAAGUGAUUAAUCUGAAAGAUGCAACUGAUGCUUUGCCACUUGAUGUAUAUGAGCUGAGAUAUUCUGAAUUGCACUUACUGACA
Molecule: long non-coding RNA, 1462 nt
Organism: Entelurus aequoreus (snake pipefish)
Lineage: Eukaryota; Metazoa; Chordata; Actinopteri; Syngnathiformes; Syngnathidae
Exons: 4
Source: RefSeq, a predicted model, not a curated record